CCCGGCUCGGCUCUGCGGCGUGGAGGCGAAGGCCGCGUCUGCAGACUUCACGAGGAACUACGGCCCCUCCUUGACCUCCCUGCUGUCGGGGGUCCCCGAUGGGUGAAUGAGCGGCCGUGUGAUGUGUCAGGACCUUCCCUGAGAGACCCAAAGGGAGCCAUUCAUUAGGACGGCGCUUGAGCCUAAAGCUGACCUGCCCCAUCUGAAGGCAGAUCGCCCAUGAAAGCCCCCGGCGUUACUUUAUUCCUGGAAUCUUAAUUACAAGGCAGCACCAGGACGGAUGUAUUAAGUAGCUUCAAUUCACCCGGCCCGGCAGCCAAUGCGAUGGCGCCCUGAAGGCUUGGUGGCAGAUAACGGCUGAUGCGGAAGCGAGGGGCAGGUAUGAAAUGGCAAUGCAUUUCAGAGAGCCUGACCCAGAGAGAGAGGCCAGCUUGGAAGCAGUCCUCCAUAAGGAGAAUGUGAUGCCAGAGACACCGAUGGUCUUCUGAAACCAUCUUUUUUGGUUUUGCUAAAUUUGUAUCGGUUGACGGAUUGAUUAGUUGAUUGACUGAUCCAUGCAUUCACCGAGCCCCUGCUGUGUGUCCGCUCCAGCUCUGAGCACUCAGUGAUCAAUCAGCCGCCCACCUCGCAUCCGGAGAGAUGGCAAGACACACGGUUCCAGAUGGUGACACCAGAAACAGCCACACACAGCUGUUUCAUCACCAGGUGAUACAAGCCGCCCCCUCCAGGACCCCCCACCCCAUCUUGGGUCCUCAUGGGCUGCCGUGUGCAGGGUUUGGGGGCAGCCUCGGCCCUGUCUGUCUGCAGAGCAUCUGUCUUCAGGGAGGAAGUUGGCCCGGGGAAGUUACUCUUUAGCAUGGCCCUGAGAUAUGUGGGUGGGGGUGGAGGACAGAGCGAGGCCAGGGGCAGGGUGAAGGCUGGGACUGGUCUUACUCUAUCUGGACACAUUUUAAAAGCUAUGAGUUGGGACGUCUGGGUGGCUCAGUGGUUGAGCGUCUGCUUUCGACUCAGGUUGU
Molecule: long non-coding RNA, 1016 nt
Organism: Nyctereutes procyonoides (raccoon dog)
Lineage: Eukaryota; Metazoa; Chordata; Mammalia; Carnivora; Canidae
Exons: 3
Source: RefSeq, a predicted model, not a curated record